CGGGAGGACCGGGGGUAUCCUGGUGUUGUGCGUCCAGCGCAACCUGUGGGCAGCGGGUCGAGGGAGGUUCCCUGCCUCUCUGCUCAGCCCUGGCUGAGCCCUCCUUCACCUUCAGGAAGUGAGGAGAUGGCUGCUCGCUGCCAAGAAAGUGCAGCCAGGUUUCUGGCACACACUGAGCAGGCAAAGGGCUGGUGUCUGAGGUUGGCAAGGGUGAGGCUUCUUCAAGUGCAACGCGGCGCCUCUAGUCAGUCAUCACUUGAAAAAGUCACAGAAGGGCAGAGGGGGGCAGCAGAUGAAAUGUUUGCAAGGAAAGCAGAAUAAUAUGCAAAACCAAGAUGAAACAUGUUUCAGGUCUACAUUACAAUUCAAACAGGAAUAUAAGUCAGCUGAAGACAUCAGAACAAAACGCUUUGACAUGUGACACACUUUAACAAAGAUCUGCUUAACAGAAAAAUCCAAUUAAAACCUGAAUUGUCCUUCGGCUGUGCCUGGCACGCUGCCACUUCAGCAGUCCGGUGCUGCAGGAAUAAAGCGGAAGAAGAGUAAAGGACGUGCUGCUAGUGCGGUGAC
This is a long non-coding RNA of Passer domesticus (house sparrow), 570 nucleotides long. RefSeq lists it as uncharacterized. The transcript is spliced from 4 exons. The record is from RefSeq and is a predicted model, not a curated record. NCBI's taxonomy places the organism in Eukaryota, Metazoa, Chordata, Aves, Passeriformes, Passeridae.